AACGAACGCUGGCGGCGCGUCUUAAGCAUGCAAGUCGAACGGUAAGGGAGAGCUUGCUCUCCCCUAGAGUGGCGGACUGGUGAGUAACGCGUGGGUGACCUGCCCUGAAGAUGGGGAUAGCUAGUAGAAAUAUUAGAUAAUACCGAAUGUGCUCAUUUACAUAAAGGUAAAUGAGGAAAGGAGCUACGGCUCCGCUUUAGGAUGGGCCCGCGUCCCAUUAGCUGGUUGGUGAGGUAAAGGCCCACCAAGGCAACGAUGGGUAUCCGGCCUGAGAGGGUGAACGGACACAUUGGGACUGAGAUACGGCCCAAACUCCUACGGGAGGCAGCAGCUAAGAAUCUUCCGCAAUGGACGAAAGUCUGACGGAGCGACGCCGUGUGAAUGAAGAAGGCCGAAAGGUUGUAAAAUUCUUUUGCAGAUGAAGAAUAAACAUAGGAGGGAAUGCCUAUGAGAUGACGGUAAUCAUGCGAAUAAGCCCCGGCUAAUUACGUGC
Molecule: ribosomal RNA, 493 nt
Filed under: Treponema denticola
Lineage: Bacteria; Pseudomonadati; Spirochaetota; Spirochaetia; Treponematales; Treponemataceae
Description: bacterial SSU rRNA
Rfam family: Bacterial small subunit ribosomal RNA
Source: RNAcentral